GAUGCUGCUGCUAAAGGGUUAAAUGCGCCGCUUGCAUCGGGGGCCGGCCGGCUGUUCGAUGCUGCUGCCGCAUUGC
Molecule: transfer RNA, 76 nt
Filed under: bioreactor metagenome
Description: tRNA-Ala
Source: RNAcentral